Molecule: long non-coding RNA, 1276 nt
Filed under: Felis catus (domestic cat)
Lineage: Eukaryota; Metazoa; Chordata; Mammalia; Carnivora; Felidae
Description: lncRNA (ENSFCAG00000045817.2)
Source: RNAcentral
CCCACCUGGGGUUCCGUGGCAGCCGCUGCAGGAAGCCGAAGUGUGGGCAGCCAGGUGGCCGUCCCGCAGGGGAGGCCGGCCUCCACCCCCGGGUGCCUGGGGCCCCACACAGACCCACGGUCCCCUCCCGCGGCUUACGCCUCGCGUGGCAGACAGCACACUUCGCGCCCGUCACGUGGCCGUGUCUGGGGGUCCUCACAUUGCUUUCUGGGAAGAUCAGACAGACACAGACGGCCCUUGAAGGCCGGCGGAUCCUUGAGCGACGAGCUGGUGAUUACCCGCGGGACCCAGGCCUCUUCCGGACGGGCAGGUCCACGAUCAUCGCUGUGGCAGGUCCUCUGUGCCCCGAAAACCGUAGCCAAGGCCUCCAGCCAGAAGGAAUCAUGCCGGAUGCCAACCAUGAACACAAAAUGCUUUCGGAUCGUCUAACACGCAAGGGAAUUCGGUGUGGCCCCCCGGCCACCCAACAGCUUCGUGGCUGGGUGCUGUUUUCCCCACGACGCCUUCCAGCUUUUGGUCCCUGUGAGCUGUGAGGCCAGCAGCCACGGAGCGGGCAAGACCCAGGAGGAAGGAGACACGGGCUGCAGGGAGCCUCCUCUUCCGGCCUGCAGGUCAUUGGGAACACGUCGCCCGGGGGUUCGGGACCACCACGCACCGAGGCCCCACGGCAGCCAGACCUGCCGCCCCGCCCCGACUACCGUUGUUACGUCUCACGGGCCAUCGCACGGGAGACACGUGGCACUGAAGCUGUUACCAAAUAUUCGACAGCUAAAUUUGCACUGGAGUGAUCUGCCUGCUUUUCUGUAAACACGUCACAGGGGAAGAGGAGUGAUUCCCGCCCCCCUGUGCCGCAGGCAGACUCAGCGGCCUCGUGGGGCCCCGUGGCGCCCCACGCGUCAGGGGGAAGCCCCAAAUCAGUUAGAGCUUAGUGACGGGAAGAGGUCGUCCCUUCCCACCCACAUCCACAGGCCCAGGCGUGUCCAGGAGAGAGUCCCCUCCUCCGCCGUCCCCCCUCCAGGCCCCUGUCUUUCCACGUGCCCACUGAGGUCCUGGACCAGCUCCUUGGAAGUACCUGCUCCGAGUGGCCCUCUGGACUCGCCCUUGGCCUCCAGCCAGCUGGGCCCGUGCUGGCCCGACACUCCCAUGGUCCUCCUGUCCGCACCUCUGCUCGCACCCAGCAGACCCCGCCUGCCCCAGGCAGUCCCCUCCAGCUGCUCUGCACCCCCCCCGCCCCCCUGUAACUCAUCCCACUCCUGAGCCUGGCCCCCCACUCCCC